This 408-nucleotide ribosomal RNA is filed under the name uncultured bacterium. Its description in RNAcentral is "partial 16S ribosomal RNA". It matches the Rfam family "Bacterial small subunit ribosomal RNA", at positions 28 to 526 of the family's 1533-position model. The record is from RNAcentral.
GACGAACGCUGGCGGCGUGCUUAACACAUGCAAGUCGAACGAAGUGGCGAACGGGUGAGUAACGCGUAAUCAACCUGCACCUCAGCGGGGGACAACAGUUGGAACCGACUGCUAAUACCGAAUACUGAAGGAGGUGAUUGCGUCUGAUUCGCUAGUUGGAGGGGUAACGGCCCACAAAGGCGAUGAUCGGUAGGCGGUCGUAGUGGGUGAACGGGCACAUUGGGACUGGGACACGGCCCCAACUUCUACGGGGGGCAGCAGUGGGGGAUCUUCCGAAAAGGACGGAAGGCUGGCGGGGGAACGGCGCGGGAGUGAUGACGGCCUUCGGGUUGUAAAGCUCUGUUAAUCGGGGCGCGGUACCGGAAUAGAAAGCCACGGCUAACUACGUGCCAGCAGCCGCGGUAAUUC